UUCCGGUUGAUCCCGCCGGAGGCGACCGCUUUGGGAGUUCGAUUAAGCCAUGCGAGUCGUGAGUCUUAGGGACUCGGCAUACUGCUCAGUAACACGUGGAUAACCUGCCCUAUCGUCUGGAAUAACCUCGGGAAACUGAGAAUAAGGCCGGAUAGUUCACAAUGCCUGGAACGGUUUGUGAAUCAAGGUAGGAUGGGUCUGCGGCGUAUCAGGUUGUAGGGGGUGUAAAGGACCCCCUASCCUUCGACGCGUACGGGUGUUGGGAGACAUAGCCCGGAGAUGGAUUCUGAGACACGAAUCCAGACCCUACGGGGUGCAGCAGGCGCGAAAACUUCACACUGCAGGAAACUGUGAUGAGGGAACUCCUAGUGCAUGCACUAUGUGUAUGUAAAUCCUACUCUUAACAAGUAGAGGGAAAGGGCUGGGAAAGACCGGUGCCAGCCGCCGCGGUAAUACCGGCAGCUCAAGUGGUCGUCGCUUUUAUUGGGCCUAAAACGUCCGUAGCCUGUUUGGUAAAUCUGUGGGUAAAUCAAUCCGCUCAACGGAUUGAAUUCUGCAGAGACUGCCAGACUAGGGACCGGGAGAGGUGUGGGGUACUCGAGGGGUAGGGGUAAAAUCCUGUCAUCCUUCGAGGACCACCAGUUGCGAAGGCGCCACACUGGAACGGAUCCGACGGUCAGGGACGAAGCCUAGGGGCACGAACCGGAUUAGAUACCCGGGUAGUCCUAGGUGUAAACGCUGUGAACUUGGUGUCGGGGGUCCGCAAGGGGUCCCCGGUGCCGGAGUGAAGAUGUUAAGUUCACUGCCUGGGGAGUACGGUCGCAGGGCCGAAACUUAAAGGAAUUGGCGGGGCAGCAC
RNAcentral lists this ribosomal RNA (858 nucleotides) under uncultured euryarchaeote. RNAcentral's name for it is "bacterial SSU rRNA". It matches the Rfam family "Archaeal small subunit ribosomal RNA", at positions 1 to 879 of the family's 1478-position model. The record is from RNAcentral. Lineage: Archaea; Methanobacteriati; Methanobacteriota.